Long non-coding RNA from Panthera uncia (snow leopard), 866 nucleotides. RefSeq lists it as uncharacterized. Lineage: Eukaryota; Metazoa; Chordata; Mammalia; Carnivora; Felidae. The record is from RefSeq and is a predicted model, not a curated record. The transcript has 2 exons.
GACACUGCCCCACCAGAGACGCGCAGUGUGCCGAUGGGGCGGCGGGGCGGUGUCCCCGUGUGGGGCGGGGCCUGGAAGGGGCGGGUCGGCAGGGCGUCCCCGUGUGGGGCGGGGCCUGGGGGGGCGGGGCGGCACCGCGUCCCCGUGCGGGGCGGGGCCUGGGAGGGGAGGGGCGGGGCCUGGGAGGGGCGGGGCGGCAAGAGUCCCCGGAAGGAGGCUUGCUUGUUCCCGGCCGGGCGGAGGCCCACGUGUCGCGCGACCUCCUCAGCUUUCCGCCUGGGGUCAGCUUCCGGUGGGGUUGCAUUAACCGCCCCCCCCAACCCCCCAGCCCGAGUCGUCCCAGCGGCCGGCUCUGUGCAGCCACGUCGAGACCCAUUGAUGUACUGUCCCCGUCGCUUCCCGUCUGUCCUCUCCCAGCGCUUCAGACCACGCGGUUGCCACGGCGGUGACAUGACCCAUAAUAGUCCCUGCCUCCUCCAGUAAAUGAAGGGACAGAGGUUUCCCAGGGAGCAGACAGAGAGAGUGUGUGCAAUCAGGGGAGAGGCAGAAAAUCACAAGGAGGCACCACGUUCACCUCGGAGCCGACGCGGGGCUCAACCCCACAACCCUGGGAUCAUGACCUCGGCUGAAACCAAGAGUCAGAGGCUCUGGACUCCUGGGUGACUCCGCUGAGGAACAGACUCUUGAUUUCCGCUCAGGUUAUGAUCUCGUGGUUCAUGAGAUCGAGCCCCAUUCGAGCUCAGCUCUGCUGAGUGUGGAGCCUGCUUAGGAUUCUCUCUCUCCCUUUCUGUCGGCUUCUCCCCUGCUUGUGUGCUCUCUCUCUUUCUCUCAAAAUAAAUAAAUAAAAAAAAGACUCGGUUGACUGA